RNAcentral lists this ribosomal RNA (821 nucleotides) under uncultured bacterium. RNAcentral's name for it is "bacterial SSU rRNA". It matches the Rfam family "Bacterial small subunit ribosomal RNA", at positions 627 to 1447 of the family's 1533-position model. The record is from RNAcentral.
UGGAAACUGUNUGACUUGAGUGCAGAAGGGGAGAGUGGAAUUCCAUGUGUAGCGGUGAAAUGCGUAGAUAUAUGGAGGAACACCAGUGGCGAAAGCGGCUCUCUGGUCUGUCACUGACGCUGAGGCUCGAAAGCGUGGGUAGCGAACAGGAUUAGAUACCCUGGUAGUCCACGCCGUAAACGAUGAGUGCUAGGUGUUAGGCCCUUUCCGGGGCUUAGUACCGGAGCUAACGCAAUAAGCACUCCGCCUGGGGAGUACGACCGCAAGGUUGAAACUCAAAGGAAUUGACGGGGGCCCGCACAAGCGGUGGAGCAUGUGGUUUAAUUCGAAGCAACGCGAAGAACCUUACCAGGUCUUGACAUCCCGAUGCUAUUCUUAGAGAUAGGAAGUUACUUCGGUACAUCGGAGACAGGUGGUGCAUGGUUGUCGUCAGCUCGUGUCGUGAGAUGUUGGGUUAAGUCCCGCAACGAGCGCAACCCUUAUUGUUAGUUGCCAUCAUUAAGUUGGGCACUCUAGCGAGACCGCCGGUAAUAAACCGGAGGAAGGUGGGGAUGACGUCAAAUCAUCAUGCCCCUUAUGACCUGGGCUACACACGUGCUACAAUGGUCGGUACAACGAGUUGCGAGCCGGUGACGGCAAGCUAAUCUCUGAAAGCCGAUCUCAGUUCGGAUUGGAGGCUGCAACUCGCCUCCAUGAAGUCGGAAUCGCUAGUAAUCGCGGAUCAGCACGCCGCGGUGAAUACGUUCCCGGGCCUUGUACACACCGCCCGUCACACCACGAGAGUUUGUAACACCCGAAGUCGGUGAGGUANCCUUUUAGGG